UAGUAAGAUAAGCUAAAAAAGCUAGUGGGUUCAUACCCCAAAAAUGAAUUAAUUCUCUUACUAA
This 64-nucleotide transfer RNA is filed under the name Glossiphonia complanata. Its description in RNAcentral is "tRNA-Met". RNAcentral also lists the same sequence under 2 other names. The record is from RNAcentral. Lineage: Eukaryota; Metazoa; Annelida; Clitellata; Rhynchobdellida; Glossiphoniidae.